Molecule: ribosomal RNA, 468 nt
Filed under: uncultured bacterium
Lineage: Bacteria
Description: partial 16S ribosomal RNA
Rfam family: Bacterial small subunit ribosomal RNA
Source: RNAcentral
GACGAACGCUGGCGGCGUGCUUAACACAUGCAAGUCGGACGGAAAGGCCCUGCUUUUGUGGGGUGCUCGAGUGGCGAACGGGUGAGUAACACGUGAGUAACCUGCCCUUGACUUUGGGAUAACUUCAGGAAACUGGGGCUAAUACCGGAUAGGAGCUCCUGCUGCAUGGUGGGGGAUGGAAAGUUUCGGCGGUUGGGGAUGGACUCGCGGCUUAUCAGCUUGUUGGUGGGGUAGUGGCUUACCAAGGCUUUGACGGGUAGCCGGCCUGAGAGGGUGACCGGCCACAUUGGGACUGAGAUACGGCCCAGACUCCUACGGGAGGCAGCAGUGGGGAAUAUUGCACAAUGGGCGGAAGCCUGAUGCAGCAACGCCGCGUGCGGGAUGACGGCCUUCGGGUUGUAAACCGCUUUCGCCUGUGACGAAGCGUGAGUGACGGUAAUGGGUAAAGAAGCACCGGCUAACUACGUG